Non-coding RNA from Sesamum indicum (sesame), 1200 nucleotides. NCBI's taxonomy places the organism in Eukaryota, Viridiplantae, Streptophyta, Magnoliopsida, Lamiales, Pedaliaceae. The record is from RefSeq and is a predicted model, not a curated record.
GAGCUCCUGUCCUUUUAUCUAAUAUGUAUGCAGAUGAGAACCAAUGGAGUAAAGUCAUACACUUAAGGAAAGAAAUGCGAGUACUAGUGCAGGGGAAACCCCCUGGUAGAAGCUGGAUUUAGGUCAAGUAUGCAGUCAAUGACUUGCAGCUAGGAAUGAAAAUGAUUGACAAACUAUGGAGCUGGAUAUGGUUCUUGAAGGAUUUGGAGAACUUUUUAGACCAUAGUGAAGUAGCCAUCUAUAUUUUUUGCACCCCCAAUAUUGGUGUUGGCAAUUUUUCAUCUAUAAAUAGGUAUGUGGAGAAGAGAAGAUGUACUUAACACGAUUUCAUCGUGUUAAAUAGAUUAAUCAAACCCACUAUAAUUCUCUCGUUCCUUGUUCUCUCCAAAAAUGUGGCUAGAUAGCUACUACUACCAAACGUCAGAUGUUCCACAACUCCAAGUGGACUAAGGAGGAUAGAUAGGAAGGAAUAUAAUGCAACUCUAGUAUAUAAUGUAAUGAGAGGGCAUCGGAAUUUGGCAUACCUUGACAUAGUUGUUUCUCACGUCUUUUUCAUUCUCCUCGAUCAUAACCAUAUACUUACUCUCAUCCCAUCCAAAUCCAUUCUUUGACAUCAUACCAACAAUAGAAGAAUAUUGUCUCUUGAAUUUUAGAUGUAAUAAUAGAUGAAGCUAAUUUGUCUCUCCAUUGGGACCAUGAGUUGCUAGUAUCAAUACUAGUACUAUAUUCAAUACUUGAGUCCAUUGCAUAAUCAAGUUGUUCCAGAAUCUCUAGUUCUAAAGGAUCAUUUGGCAUCUCCGAUCGAAUAAAAUUGUGGAGAGUGAAACAAGCCAAAAUAGUCCUAUUUUAGAUCUUGAUAGGAUAAAAAGACAGACUUCGUAACACAGCCCAUCGAAUUUUCAACAACCCAAAUGCCCUCUCAAUAAUAUUCCUUGCAUAAGAGUGUUUGAGGUUAUAAUAUUCCUCACAGUUCUGUUGUUCUCCCGCUCCACAGUCCCACUCACAUAAGUGAUAACAAACACCUCUGACCUCUGUAUGGGGCGAGGAAGCCUACAAUCAUUCGAAUAACCACUGUCAUAUAAGUAAUAAUGCCUAAAAUUUAAACCAAAUUUGUUACACAUAGUAUCUAAUAAUGGAACAUAAUCAAUAUGGUGAAAGUUGACGUACUAAGAAAAAGAAAAAUCAAUACAGACUAAACAA